CAGCCGCCGCGGUAAUACGUAGGUGGCAAGCGUUGUCCGGAAUUAUUGGGCGUAAAGGGCUCGCAGGCGGUUUCUUAAGUCUGAUGUGAAAGCCCCCGGCUCAACCGGGGAGGGUCGUUGGAAACUGGGAAACUUGAGUGCAGAAGAGGAGAGUGGAAUUCCACGUGUAGCGGUGAAAUGCGUAGAUAUAUGGAGGAACACCAGUGGCGAAGGCGACUCUCUGGUCUGUAACUGACGCUGAGGCUCGAAAGCGUGGGGAGCAAACAGGAUUAGAUACCCGCGUAGUCCCUGUCUCUUAUAC
Molecule: ribosomal RNA, 301 nt
Filed under: uncultured bacterium
Lineage: Bacteria
Description: partial 16S ribosomal RNA
Rfam family: Bacterial small subunit ribosomal RNA
Source: RNAcentral